GCUUGACUGGUUAUGCAUGAUUGGUUUUUGCUGUGAUUUUUAUUAGAAUUUGGUUAGUUGGGUUAUGUGUAGAAAUUUUGGGGCUUCACCCAUGCUUGGUGUUAUUAUGUUCUUGCAGACCAAUAUGUGUGUGUUUAAACCUUCAUUGAAGGUGCUUUGGGUAUAUAGGUGAUUAUAAAUAGAAUGUAAUGUGAUGGUAUUGUGCUAUAUCAAUGUGCAGUUAUCAAUGUGAUGGUAUUGUUAUAGUGUAAAUAGAAUGCAAUGUGAUGGUUUGGAUGUUAUAUGUUUGUGGCUGAUUUUAUUUAUGGUGUAAUCAAUAGCAUACUUGUUUACAUACCUCUUAGACUACAAUGUUUGUGAUUUUGUUAGAUGAAGAAAAAAACCAAAGCCGCAAUUCUUGCCUCAGUUGCAUCUGUCCUCCUUGUGGGGGUUGCAUUGUUAAAGAAAUUACGACGUAGACGUAGAGAUCUGCCUAGGUCGCCUUAUGUUAACCAUGCCGCCGAGAGAGAGGAAUACAUAAAUAGUGUUUUGCAUGGAAGUGAGAGACAUUGUGUGAAUCAACUUAGGAUGAAGCCUAUAGCUUUCCACCACUUAUGUCACACCCUCACUGAGGGGGAGCACGUACGUCCGACUGUUCACAUGUCUGUUACGGAGCAAGUGUUCAUUUUCUUGCACAUUAUUGGUCAUAAUGUGAGGUUUCGUGUAAUGGGUAGUCGGAUCUAUAGAUCAACUGAGACUGUUCAUAGAUACUUCAAGGUUGUCCUUAGGGGGGUCCUGAAAUUAUAUAGAGCUCUAAUAAGACUGCGUAGCGAAGAUACACCUCCAGAGAUAAGGAAUAGCAGAAGGUUUUACCCAUAUUUUAAGGAUUGUGUUGGAGCAAUAGAUGGUACACAUGUUCGUGCAUCUGUGCCACCUGAAAUACAAGGAAGAUUUCGUGGUCGCAAAGAUGGAACCACGCAAAAUGUGUUAGCUGCCAUUAGUUUUGACUUAAAGUUCACUUAUGUGUUGGCUGGAUAGGAAGGCAGUGCACAUGAUUCACGUGUAUUAAAUGAUGCAUUUGCUAGGCCAGGGGGAUUUUCAAUUCCCAAUGGUAAAUUUUAUCUUGGUGAUGCUGGGUAUGGUAAUAAAAAUGGAAUAUUGUCACCGUAUCAGAGUGUACGAUAUCACUUGAAAGAGUUUAGUGAUCGUCCUCCUGAGAAUGCGCAAGAAUUGUUCAACCUCCGACACUCUUCAUUGAGAACUACCAUUGAGCGAGGGUUUGGAGUGGUGAAAAAACGUUUUCGAGUGUUGGAUGCAGAACCAUAUUGGUCUUUCCCAACCCAAGUGAAAGUAGUGUUAGCGUGUUGUGUGGUUCAUAAUCACAUUAUGGGGGUUGAACCAAAUGACCAUAUUAUGGAAGAUGCAAUGAACCAAGUAGAGCUUAGUGACCACCAACAAGAAACACAAUCCCGUCGGGAGUCCGUCGAAGAUAGUAGAUCAUGGAAUGCUAAGAGAGAUGAGAUAUGCCAAGCCAUGUGGUCUGAUUAUAUUAGGAGUGGAGAGUAGUACUAUAUUUAGAUUUUUAUGAUUGUAAUGUGUUUUUUCUUUUUGU
Molecule: RNA transcript, 1591 nt
Organism: Quercus robur (English oak)
Lineage: Eukaryota; Viridiplantae; Streptophyta; Magnoliopsida; Fagales; Fagaceae
Exons: 3
Source: RefSeq, a predicted model, not a curated record